AUAGAACAUUCCAGAGCAUACAAAACAAAAUCAUUUUUAAAGAUCCCCUCCCCNCUUUUUGGAAUCUCAAUAAGUAGGACAAGCUUUUACGCAAGGGGUUUGCCAUCAGAACGCAGGUGUUGUGAAAGCCACCGCUAAUUUAAAGCAAAAAUGGGAAAGGAAAAAUCUCACAUCAACAUUGUCUCCGGCAAGUCCACCACAACUGGCCACCUGAUCUACAAAUGUGGUGGAAUCGACAAUCGAACAAUCGAAAAGUUUGAGAAGGAGGCUGCUGAGAUGGGAAAGGGCUCCUUCAAGUACGCCUGGGGCUUAGACAAACUGAAAGCUGAGUGUGAGCGUGGUAUCACUAUUGACAUCUCCCUGUGGAAAUUCAAGACCAGCAAAAACUAUGUGACCAUCAUUGAUGCCCCAGGACCCAGAGACUUCAUCAAAAACAUGAUUAUAGGCACAUCCCAGGCUGACUGUGCUGUCCUGAUUGUUGCUGCUGGUGUUGGUGAAUUUGAAGGUGGUAUCUCCAAGAACAGGCAGACCGGAGAGCAUGCUCUUCUGGCUUACACCCUGGGUGUGAAACAGCUGAUUGUUGGUGUCAACAAAAUGGAUUCUACCGAGCCAUCAUACAGUCAGAAGAGAUAUGAGGAGAUUGUUAAGGAAGUCAGCACCUACAUUAAGAAAAUUGGCUACAACCCUGACACAGUAGCAUUUGUGCCAAUUUCUGGUUGGAAUGGUGACAACAUGCUGGAGCAAAGUGCUAAUAUGCCUUUGUUCAAGGGAUGGAAAGUCACCUGCAAAGAUGGCAGUGCCAGUGGCACCAUGCUGCUGGAAGCUUUGGAUUGUAUCCUACCACCAACUCGUCCAACUGACAAGCCUCUGCAACUGCCCCUCCAGGAUGUCUAUAAAAUUGGAGGCAUUGGCACUGUCCCCGUGGGCUGAGUGGAGACUGGUGUUCUCAAACCUGGCAUGGUGGUUACCUUUGCUCCGUCAAUAUAACAACUAAAGUCAAGUCUGUUGAAAUGCACCAUGAAGCUUUGAGUGAAGCUCUUCCUGGGGACAAUGUGGUCUUCAAUGUAAAGAACGUGUCUGUCAAAGAUGUUAGACAAGGCAAUGUUGCUAGUGACAGAAAAAGUGAUUCACCAAUGGAAGCAGCUGGCUUCACUGCUCAGGUGAUUAUCCUGAACCAUCCAGGCCAAAUCAGUGCUGGCUAUGCUCCUGUUCUGGAUUGUCACACAGCCCACAUAGCAUGCAAGUUU
Molecule: non-coding RNA, 1247 nt
Organism: Mus caroli (Ryukyu mouse)
Lineage: Eukaryota; Metazoa; Chordata; Mammalia; Rodentia; Muridae
Source: RefSeq, a predicted model, not a curated record